Molecule: transfer RNA, 73 nt
Filed under: Rhizophagus irregularis DAOM 181602=DAOM 197198
Lineage: Eukaryota; Fungi; Glomeromycota; Glomeromycetes; Glomerales; Glomeraceae
Description: tRNA-Lys (CTT) (tRNA-Lys-CTT-2-1)
Rfam family: tRNA
About the family: Transfer RNA (tRNA) molecules are approximately 80 nucleotides in length. Their secondary structure includes four short double-helical elements and three loops (D, anti-codon, and T loops).
Source: RNAcentral
GCCCGGCUAGCUCAAUCGGUAGAGCGUGAGACUCUUAAUCUCAAGGUUGGGGGUUCGAUCCCCCCGUUGGGCG